UACAGGGGGGGCAAGCGUUGUUCGGAAUUACUGGGCGUAAAGGGCUCGUAGGUGGCCAACUAAGUCAGACGUGAAAUCCCUCAGCUUAACUGGGGAACUGCGUCUGAUACUGGAUGGCUUGAGUUUGGGAGAGGGAUGCGGAAUUCCAGGUGUAGCGGUGAAAUGCGUAGAUAUCUGGAGGAACACCGGUGGCGAAGGCGGCAUCCUGGACCAACACUGACACUGAGGAGCGAAAGCGUGGGGAGCAAACCGG
Molecule: ribosomal RNA, 253 nt
Filed under: uncultured bacterium
Lineage: Bacteria
Description: partial 16S ribosomal RNA
Rfam family: Bacterial small subunit ribosomal RNA
Source: RNAcentral